RNAcentral lists this ribosomal RNA (804 nucleotides) under uncultured bacterium. RNAcentral describes it as "bacterial SSU rRNA". It matches the Rfam family "Bacterial small subunit ribosomal RNA", at positions 8 to 796 of the family's 1533-position model. The record is from RNAcentral.
AGAGUUUGAUCAUGGCUCAGGACGAACGCUGGCGGCGUGCCUAAUACAUGCAAGUCGAGCGAACCUGCGAGAGCUUGCUCUCAAAGGUUAGCGGCGGACGGGUGAGUAACACGUGGGUAACCUGCCUGACAGACUGGGAUAACGCUUGGAAACGAGUGCUAAUACCGGAUGAUCUCUUUGGCUGCAUGGCCAGAGAGUAAAAGAAGCUAUUGCUUCACUGUCAGAUGGACCCGCGGCGCAUUAGCUAGUUGGUGAGGUAACGGCUCACCAAGGCGACGAUGCGUAGCCGACCUGAGAGGGUGACCGGCCACACUGGGACUGAGACACGGCCCAGACUCCUACGGGAGGCAGCAGUAGGGAAUCUUCCGCAAUGGGCGCAAGCCUGACGGAGCAACGCCGCGUGAGUGAUGAAGGCCUUCGGGUUGUAAAACUCUGUCUUCUGCGAAGAACAAGCCUGUGAGUGGAAAGCUCAGGCCUUGACGGUAACAGAGGAGGAAGCCCCGGCUAACUACGUGCCAGCAGCCGCGGUAAUACGUAGGGGGCAAGCGUUGUCCGGAAUCACUGGGCGUAAAGCGCGCGCAGGCGGCGAUCUGCGUCCGGGGUGAAAGCCCAGAGCUCAACUCUGGGACUGCCUUGGAUACGGGGUCGCUUGAGGAUCGGAGAGGCAAGGGGAAUUCCACGUGUAGCGGUGAAAUGCGUAGAGAUGUGGAGGAACACCUGUGGCGAAGGCGCCUUGCUGGCCGAUUUCUGACGCUGAGGCGCGAAAGCGUGGGGAGCAAACAGGAUUAGAUACCCCAGUAGUCC